GUUCUCUGCUGACAAGCCCCUCUGUAAAGUGCAGCCAUGUCUUCAGACUCUGAGAUGGCCAUCUUUGGAGAGGCGGCUCCUUACCUCCGAAAGUCAGAAAAGGAGAGAAUUGAGGCCCAGAACAAGCCUUUCGAUGCCAAGACAUCCGUCUUUGUGGUGCAUCCUAAAGAAUCCUUUGUGAAAGGAACAAUCCAGAGCAAAGAAUCAGGGAAGGUCACCGUCAAGACUGAAGGUGGAGAGAGCCUGACUGUGAAGGAAGAUCAAAUCUUCUCCAUGAACCCUCCCAAGUACGAUAAAAUUGAGGACAUGGCCAUGAUGACCCACCUCCAUGAACCUGCUGUGCUGUACAACCUCAAAGAGCGUUAUGCAGCCUGGAUGAUCUACACCUACUCGGGUCUCUUCUGCGUCACUGUCAACCCCUACAAGUGGCUGCCGGUGUACAACCCGGAGGUGGUGUUGGCCUACCGAGGCAAGAAGCGCCAGGAGGCCCCUCCACACAUCUUCUCCAUCUCUGACAAUGCCUAUCAGUUCAUGCUGACUGAUCGCGAGAACCAGUCGAUCCUGAUCACCGGAGAAUCUGGUGCAGGGAAGACUGUGAACACAAAGCGUGUCAUCCAGUACUUUGCAACAAUUGCAGCGAGUGGGGAGAAGAAGAAGGAGGAGCAGUCAGGCAAAAUGCAGGGAACGCUUGAGGAUCAAAUCAUCAGCGCCAACCCACUGCUGGAGGCCUUUGGAAAUGCCAAGACCGUGAGGAAUGACAAUUCCUCACGCUUUGGCAAAUUCAUUCGAAUCCACUUUGGAGCCACAGGCAAACUGGCUUCUGCUGACAUUGAAACAUAUCUGCUGGAGAAAUCCAGAGUCACUUUCCAGCUCAAGGCAGAAAGAAGCUACCACAUAUUCUAUCAGAUCAUGUCCAACAAGAAGCCAGAGCUAAUUGACAUGCUCCUCAUUACCACCAACCCAUAUGACUACCACUUUGUGAGUCAAGGUGAGAUCACGGUUCCCAGCAUUAACGACCAGGAAGAGCUGAUGGCUACAGAUAGUGCCAUUGACAUCCUGGGCUUCACUGCUGAUGAAAAAACAGCCAUUUACAAGCUGACAGGGGCUGUCAUGCACUACGGGAACUUGAAGUUCAAGCAGAAGCAGCGUGAGGAACAGGCAGAGCCGGAUGGCACAGAAGUUGCUGACAAGGCUGCCUACCUCAUGGGUCUGAACUCAGCUGACCUGCUCAAGGCUCUCUGCUACCCCCGAGUCAAGGUUGGGAAUGAAUAUGUGACCAAGGGUCAAACUGUGCAGCAGGUGAACAAUUCAGUGGGUGCUCUGGCAAAGGCUGUCUAUGAGAAGAUGUUCCUGUGGAUGGUUGUUCGUAUCAACCAACAGCUGGAUACGAAGCAGCCCAGACAGUACUUCAUUGGUGUCCUGGACAUUGCUGGCUUCGAGAUCUUUGAUUUCAACAGCCUGGAGCAGCUGUGCAUCAACUUCACCAAUGAGAAACUGCAACAGUUCUUCAACCACCACAUGUUCGUGCUGGAACAGGAGGAGUACAAGAAGGAGGGAAUUGAAUGGACAUUCAUUGACUUCGGGAUGGACCUGGCUGCCUGCAUUGAGCUCAUUGAAAAACCCAUGGGCAUCUUCUCCAUCCUGGAAGAGGAGUGCAUGUUCCCCAAGGCAACUGACACCUCUUUCAAGAACAAGCUCUAUGACCAACAUCUGGGCAAGUCCAACAACUUCCAGAAGCCCAAGCCUGGCAAAGGCAAGGCUGAGGCCCACUUCUCCCUGGUGCACUAUGCUGGCACAGUGGACUACAACAUCUCUGGCUGGCUGGAGAAGAAUAAGGAUCCCUUGAAUGAAACUGUCAUUGGGCUGUAUCAGAAAUCAUCUGUGAAGACACUGGCAUUACUUUUUGCCUCUGCUGGAGGAGAGGCAGAGGCUAGUGGUGGUGGUGGCAAGAAAGGUGGCAAGAAGAAGGGUUCUUCUUUCCAGACUGUCUCAGCUCUUUUCCGGGAGAACCUAAACAAGCUGAUGACCAAUCUACGGAGCACUCACCCCCAUUUUGUUCGUUGCAUCAUCCCAAAUGAAACAAAAACACCUGGUGCCAUGGAGCAUGAACUGGUACUUCACCAGCUGCGGUGUAACGGCGUGCUGGAAGGCAUCAGAAUUUGCAGGAAAGGUUUCCCCAGCAGAGUCCUCUAUGCUGACUUCAAACAAAGGUGAGAGCUAUGA
This is an RNA transcript of Haliaeetus leucocephalus (bald eagle), 2223 nucleotides long. It is a transcript of the gene named myosin heavy chain, skeletal muscle, adult-like, with no coding region annotated. The transcript has 17 exons. The record is from RefSeq and is a predicted model, not a curated record. NCBI's taxonomy places the organism in Eukaryota, Metazoa, Chordata, Aves, Accipitriformes, Accipitridae.